Molecule: ribosomal RNA, 170 nt
Filed under: uncultured bacterium
Lineage: Bacteria
Description: partial 16S ribosomal RNA
Rfam family: Bacterial small subunit ribosomal RNA
Source: RNAcentral
CCUACGGGAGGCAGCAGUGGGGAAUAUUGCACAAUGGGGGAAACCCCGAUGCAGCAACGCCGCGUGAGUGAUGACGGCCUUCGGGAUGUAAAGCUCUGUCUUCAGGGACGAUAAUGACGGUACCUGAGGAGGAAGCCACGGCUAACUACGUGCCAGCAGCCGCGGUAAUA